GUGUGGAGCUGGAGCUGCUGAUACAGAAGUCGUGACAGGCUAAGGUGGAAGUUGAAAGAUUGAAGCAUUCAUGCCAGUCAUUCGACAAGACACGUCUUUGAGAAGGGCCCAGUUGCAUGUUACAAGAGGUGUUGUGAGGAAGGUCGGACGUUAGAUGGUGAAGUUGCUGUUGCAGGUGAGCUGUAGAAGCAAAGCUCGUGUUCCUUUUAGAUGGUAUGUUGGUAUGAAUGCAGAUGGAAUUCGAGAAGGGUGAUGUGAUACUUCUACCUGCAAAUGAAUGCAGUUGGAAUUUCUAGGAGGGUGGUAUUGCAGUUCUUUCAGCCCCCAGACCUGGAACAUGUUCGAUUUUAUGUCUCAGUUUGUCAUUUACAAAUUACAAUUUAUGAUGGAAGUUGGUA
This 398-nucleotide long non-coding RNA is filed under the name Helianthus annuus (common sunflower). RNAcentral describes it as "hypothetical non coding rna". Lineage: Eukaryota; Viridiplantae; Streptophyta; Magnoliopsida; Asterales; Asteraceae. The record is from RNAcentral.